GACCUGGAGCAAACAUUCUAAAACAGCACAAAUGGCAGAAGCAGAGCCCACAGGCUUCUUGUCAGGAAUCCGUUUGGAGUAUGGAAAGAAUCCCAGUGCCUGUGAACUUCUGGGUUGUCUGCUGUGCAGUUCUGAAAUGUAACCCUGGGAUUCCUAAAAGAAUGUCAACUCUAUGCUUUGGAUUUUCUAGUCUCACUCUGUCAACCAGACUGCAGUGCAGUGACAGGAUUGCAGCUCACUGCAGCCUCAACGACCUGGGCCCAUGCAAUUCUCCCACCUCAGCCUUCCCAAGUAGCUGGGACUACAGGUGCACAGCACCAUGCCUGGCUAAUUUUUAAAUUUGUUAUAGAGAUGUAUCUCUCUAUGUUGCCCAGGCUGGGCUCGAAUUCCUGGCCUUAAGAGAUCCUCCCUGCCUCGGCCUCCUGAAGUGUGGGAUUAUAGACGUGAGCCACGUGACCUGGCCUCACCAAAAGUUCUUAAACCAACAAAACACAUGGCAGUAACAGGUACUCUUCCUUUUCUUGAAGAAUUAUCCUGCCAAAACAGUUUCUCUGCAAUUUGUGGUGAAAGCUAGAGGCAUCCUGAGGCAUCCCAAGGCAGCCUUGGAAGACUGCGAUCUAUGUUCUUUUGGGGAUACUUGAGUUUCUGUGGAUGGAAAUGCUCUGGAGAAGCUCUAUUUGUUGAGAGUGGCAGACACCCAGUUCUUGAUGUUCAUAAAACUAUGGCAGGCAGAGUUGGGAAAGAUAUAUUAAGUCAUAAAUCUAGAUUCGGGUCCAAGGCAGAAUGGUUCACCAUUGUAGUCAUUCCAAGUCAUUGUCCAGGCAGCUUUGAAAUAUCUCGAGGGCCUAACUCUUAGAAGGCUAUUUUUCUCCUCUGGUUCCUGGGCAAACGUUGGGGUGUUUGAUUUUUUCUUUUUUAAAAAGACAUGUUAGAAUUGGAGCCACAGAACUACUUAAUUAUCUCCAUUCACCUAAAUUUCUAUAGUGGUUUCCUUAUGAAGAAAACAAUUAAUGUAGAGAGGCCCUAGUACCUCUGGCAUAAAGUUGUCAUCAAAGAACAAAUCAAUCAUUUUCUUUGGUUCCUUGUAUUUCAACUUUUGUGUUGAGUUUUGUUUCAGCUUUAAGGAAAAAGCAAACUUGCUGGGCUUCUCAUUAGCCAGCAUUAUCAAGAAUGAGUAACAUUUAAAAGCUCCUUUUUGUUAAUGGAAAGGAAGUAGCUUCCUUGCCUUUCCUAUAAACAUUUACAUUGAGUCUGUUUACUCCUGUCAUUGGUAAAUCUCAUUUGUUCCCAAGUUUUAUUUUAGGCUAUUACAGGGCUAAAAAAAAAAAAAAAAAAGGGAAAUCCUAAAACUAAGCUUUCAUUUUUUCAUGUUUUCUUUUAACUUCAUAUUGAAUGAUCCUAAUCUUCCAAAAGAUUUUAGUGGCUACUGUUGUGUAGCAAAGAGGGAGACUGUUCUAGACUACAAAGAGAGUAGACUUGAAUUAAUACAAUUGCUUGACUAAUGUAUGCUAUAUGUCAUUAGUGAAAUCAUUUAUGUGCCUUGCAUGCAUGCAUGUGCAUGUGUGUGAUGUGAUGUGGUUUGCUUGCUUGUUCAUGAAAAUAUUCAGAACAAAUCUCUUUUUGAUAAGUAAUGCUACUAGCAAAUACAGAAGUGCUGAAGAAUAAUACAAUAUUUGAAUAUUUGCAUUUGAAAUCUUAUUAUCAUUUUAAACCAAGACAAGUGGGUGUUAGUUUAUUGAUGCCAGCGACAUCAGUAUUAGUAAUAGGCUCCUUUAGCAAAAAGCAA
Molecule: small RNA, 1786 nt
Filed under: Pongo abelii (Sumatran orangutan)
Lineage: Eukaryota; Metazoa; Chordata; Mammalia; Primates; Hominidae
Description: processed transcript
Source: RNAcentral